RNAcentral lists this ribosomal RNA (306 nucleotides) under uncultured bacterium. Its description in RNAcentral is "partial 16S ribosomal RNA". It matches the Rfam family "Bacterial small subunit ribosomal RNA", at positions 507 to 807 of the family's 1533-position model. The record is from RNAcentral.
GACAGCAGCAGCCACGGUAAUACGUAGGGUGCAAGCGUUAAUCGGAAUUACUGGGCGUAAAGCGUGCGCAGGCGGUUAUAUAAGACAGAUGUGAAAUCCCCGGGCUCAACCUGGGAACUGCAUUUGUGACUGUAUAGCUAGAGUACGGCAGAGGGGGAUGGAAUUCCGCGUGUAGCAGUGAAAUGCGUAGAUAUGCGGAGGAACACCGAUGGCGAAGGCAAUCCCCUGGGCCUGUACUGACGCUCAUGCACGAAAGCGUGGGGAGCAAACAGGAUUAGAUACCCCAGUAGUCCCUGUCUCUUAUAC